This 294-nucleotide long non-coding RNA is filed under the name Numida meleagris (helmeted guineafowl). RNAcentral's name for it is "lncRNA (ENSNMEG00000005186.1)". The record is from RNAcentral. Lineage: Eukaryota; Metazoa; Chordata; Aves; Galliformes; Numididae.
AUGAGACCCAUAAAACUGAAUUCUCAGUGGACAAGAUCUCCAGAGGCCAGUUUCACCACUGUUGUAAGGGGGCACUGCCUUGAUGAUGUGCGGUGGGCUACAACCUACCUGUGCAUAGGAGACAUGAAACACGUGACUAUGUCUCAGGCCUGUCUAAGUUAUGUGUUUUGCAAAGUGCUAACAAAGCGUGCCGGAUUUGGAACAAUAUUGCAAUGCUCUCUCAGCAGGUGUCGCGUGACCACACAGCCUCGUGCUCUAUCUGGCACAAGUCAUGACAUUCAGGACUGUUUCUGA